RNAcentral lists this ribosomal RNA (288 nucleotides) under Plasmodium vivax (malaria parasite P. vivax). RNAcentral describes it as "partial small subunit ribosomal RNA". The record is from RNAcentral. Lineage: Eukaryota; Apicomplexa; Aconoidasida; Haemosporida; Plasmodiidae.
CAAAUGUUCUCUCUCUAAGUGCAUUCUCACAGUUCUCGAGCCUUGGUUCAUCCAUCAGGUCCUUUAAGGACUUUCUUUGCUUCGGCUUGGAAGUAACAAAUGUUCUCUCUCUAAGUGCAUUCUCACAGUUCUCGAGCCUUGGUUCAUCCAUCAGGUCCUUUAAGGACUUUCUUUGCUUCGGCUUGGAAGUAACAAAUGUUCUCUCUCUAAGUGCAUUCUCACAGUUCUCGAGCCUUGGUUCAUCCAUCAGGUCCUUUAAGGACUUUCUUUGCUUCGGCUUGGAAGUAA